Molecule: non-coding RNA, 46 nt
Filed under: Trichobilharzia regenti
Lineage: Eukaryota; Metazoa; Platyhelminthes; Trematoda; Strigeidida; Schistosomatidae
Source: RNAcentral
AUACUGCUGAAGAGUCCCAAACUAGGACGAAACAGCUGCCCAGUAC